UACGUAGGGGGCAAGCGUUGUCCGGAAUCAUUGGGCGUAAAGCGCGUGUAGGCGGGUUUUUAAGUCAGGGGUGAAAUCCUGGAGCUCAACUCCAGAACUGCCUUUGAUACUGAAGAUCUUGAGUCCGGGAGAGGUGAGUGGAACUGCGAGUGUAGAGGUGAAAUUCGUAGAUAUUCGCAAGAACACCAGUGGCGAAGGCGGCUCACUGGCCCGGUACUGACGCUGAGGCACGAAAGCGUGGGGAGCAAACAGG
Molecule: ribosomal RNA, 253 nt
Filed under: uncultured bacterium
Lineage: Bacteria
Description: partial 16S ribosomal RNA
Rfam family: Bacterial small subunit ribosomal RNA
Source: RNAcentral